This is a long non-coding RNA of Diabrotica virgifera virgifera (western corn rootworm), 1244 nucleotides long. RefSeq lists it as uncharacterized. The transcript is spliced from 3 exons. The record is from RefSeq and is a predicted model, not a curated record. NCBI's taxonomy places the organism in Eukaryota, Metazoa, Arthropoda, Insecta, Coleoptera, Chrysomelidae.
GCCCUAACAACACACAACAUUCCAGGAAUGUACUACCAAAGUUCUAUCAAUAUUUGAAUGUCCUGGACAUUUAGGGAACAUUCGGUGAACAUCUGUUUAAAUUAUUCCUGGAAUGUUACCAUAAGACAUUCUGUGAACAUACUACCAAUGUUCCUAUAUUUUAAGUUGCGAAAUAAUACAUACGUGUAAGAGAUACAACAUUACUUAUAACAUACCAGACAAACUAAGUGACAUUUUAGGCCUACAGUGCAAUAAUAUGUCAAAUUUAAAGAGUUUCCCAAGAUUAUAAACAUACAAAUGUAAUAAAAAUUAUUGUUCGCGAAUAUUCAAUUUGGAAUGCGAUUUUGUUAAUAAAAAAAAUACUUAUAACUUAUGCAAAACCCAAGAGAGGCAUUUAUAUUUAUUUCUUUUGCGUUCAUUUUCAAAUUCGCCGUGCAUAUAAUUUUGUGCAUGGCGCUUGAGAGGGCAUCACGUGACUAAAAACGACCAACCAACGACCUCGCUUCGGCCAUCUUGGCAUCUUCAUCUUGGCGACCUUGCCUUGCCGUGGAUUGUUUUUAGUUGUUUGUAUUAUUUGUGCUUUUUAAGAAUAUUUUUUUAAUUCGGAUACUUUUAUAAUAGCUUUAAUAGUAUUAUUAACAUAGUGCAUAAAAUGGUGUCCUGUUUUUAACGCAGUUGGAGUAGCAGAAACAAAUGUAGAUAAAAAAAUCUGCAGGAAUAACGUUUCAAUUAUGACAGAAGCUCAAAACAAAUGACUGUGAAUGAAAAGCCCUAUUAAAAGCUUUCCAGAAGAUCCUGCGAAGAAGACAUGAAGUAUAGAUCAGAUUUGUUAAUAGAGGAGUAUGUUCAAAACACUUUUUAGAAAAAGAUAUUGACAGAACUUCACUUUCAUCUGUUCGUUUGAGAGACUGUGCUGUUCCAAUAGCUUAUGUCACACAGAAUCAGCUGAGAGAAGUGGUCUACAAAAAACCAGAAAGGAAACGGAAUAUGUGGCUACGAAAAGCAAAAGAAAGGUUUACAAAGCAAAUGUGACACAUUUUUUUAUAAUAUUUAGGAAUGUCAGCAAAUUACAUUAAAAAAUGUAUGUAAAGAUUUUUUGCAAUAAAAAUGUUUAUAUUUAUCAAGGAUGUAUUAUUUGGUAUGGCCAUAUAUCGUCAGUGAUGUGACAGUACCUCCUAUCUGUUUUUUUCAAGAGAUUUGUAAGAUAGACUAAAAACUUGUUUCGGCCACCUCCUGUUUUCAUA